RNAcentral lists this ribosomal RNA (200 nucleotides) under uncultured bacterium. RNAcentral's name for it is "partial 16S ribosomal RNA". It matches the Rfam family "Bacterial small subunit ribosomal RNA", at positions 32 to 222 of the family's 1533-position model. The record is from RNAcentral.
AAUCAACGCUGGCGGCGUGCCUCAGACAUGCAAGUCGAACGAUUAAGACUUCCUUCGGGAAGUGCAUAAAGUGGCGCACGGGUGAGUAACACGUAAGUAAUCUACCCUCGAGUGGGGAAUAACGUUCGGAAACGAACGCUAAUACCGCAUAAUGCAGCGGCAUCGCAAGAUGACAGUUGUUAAAGGAGUAAUUCGCUUGA